UGAGGAAUAUUGGUCAAUGGGCGAGAGCCUGAACCAGCCAAGUAGCGUGCAGGACGACGGCCCUAUGGGUUGUAAACUGCUUUUAUGUGGGGAUAAAGUGCGUGACGUGUCAUGCAUUGCAGGUACCACAUGAAUAAGGAUCGGCUAAUUCCGUGCCAGCAGCCGCGGUAAUACGGAAGGUCCGGGCGUUAUCCGGAUUUAUUGGGUUUAAAGGGAGCGUAGGCUGUCUAUUAAGCGUGUUGUGAAAUAUACCGGCUCAACCGGUGGCUUGCAGCGCGAACUGGUCGACUUGAGUAUGCAGGGAGUAGGCGGAAUUCAUGGUGUAGCGGUGAAAUGCUUAGAUAUCAUGACGAACUCCGAUUGCGCAGGCAGCUUACUGUAGCAUAACUGACUCUGAUGCUCGAAAGUGCGGGUAUCAAACAGG
Molecule: ribosomal RNA, 424 nt
Filed under: Verrucomicrobiota bacterium
Lineage: Bacteria; Pseudomonadati; Verrucomicrobiota
Description: Verrucomicrobia bacterium partial 16S ribosomal RNA
Rfam family: Bacterial small subunit ribosomal RNA
Source: RNAcentral